This 253-nucleotide ribosomal RNA is filed under the name uncultured bacterium. Its description in RNAcentral is "partial 16S ribosomal RNA". It matches the Rfam family "Bacterial small subunit ribosomal RNA", at positions 524 to 776 of the family's 1533-position model. The record is from RNAcentral.
UACGAAGGGUGCUAGCGUUGUUCGGAAUUACUGGGCGUAAAGCGCGCGUAGGCGGUCAUGCAAGUCAGGGGUGAAAUCCCGGAGCUUAACUCCGGAACUGCCUUUGAAACUGCAUGGCUGGAGUGUGUGAGGGGAUAGCGGAAUUCCUAAUGUAGAGGUGAAAUUCGUAGAUAUUAGGAGGAACACCGGUGGCGAAGGCGGCUAUCUGGCACACAACUGACGCUGAGGCGCGAAAGCGUGGGGAUCAAACAGG